GCCGUGAUCGUAUAGUGGUUAGAACUCUGCGUUGUGGUCGCAGUAACCCAGGUUCGAAUCGGGGUCACAGCA
This 72-nucleotide transfer RNA is filed under the name Perca flavescens (yellow perch). It matches the Rfam family "tRNA". From Rfam's summary of the family: Transfer RNA (tRNA) molecules are approximately 80 nucleotides in length. Their secondary structure includes four short double-helical elements and three loops (D, anti-codon, and T loops). Further hydrogen bonds mediate the characteristic L-shaped molecular structure. tRNAs have two regions of fundamental functional importance: the anti-codon, which is responsible for specific mRNA codon recognition, and the 3' end, to which the tRNAs corresponding amino acid is attached (by aminoacyl-tRNA synthetases). tRNAs cope with the degeneracy of the genetic code in two manners: having more than one tRNA (with a specific anti-codon) for a particular amino acid; and 'wobble' base-pairing, i.e. permitting non-standard base-pairing at the 3rd anti-codon position. Lineage: Eukaryota; Metazoa; Chordata; Actinopteri; Perciformes; Percidae. The record is from Rfam by way of RNAcentral.